UACGUAGGGUCCGAGCGUUGUCCGGAAUUAUUGGGCGUAAAGGGCUCGUAGGCGGUCCGUCACGUCGGGAGUGAAAACUCGGAGCUCAACUCCGAGCCUGCUUCCGAUACGGGCAGACUAGAGGUAGGCAGGGGAGAGCGGAACUCCUGGUGUAGCGGUGGAAUGCGCAGAUAUCAGGAAGAACACCCGUGGCGAAGGCGGCUCUCUGGGACGUGACUGACGCUGAGACGCGAAAGCGUGGGGAGCGAACAGG
RNAcentral lists this ribosomal RNA (253 nucleotides) under uncultured bacterium. Its description in RNAcentral is "partial 16S ribosomal RNA". It matches the Rfam family "Bacterial small subunit ribosomal RNA", at positions 524 to 776 of the family's 1533-position model. The record is from RNAcentral.